GUCUUAUUGAUUAUAAUUUUAAGUCUAAUCUGCCCAAUGAGUGAUUAAAUGGCUGCAGUAUUUUAACUGUACAAAGGUAGCAUAAUAAUUAGUUUCUUAAUUAGGAACUGGAAUGAAUGAUUGGACGAAAUAGUGACUGUCUUAGUUUAAAUUUUAGAAUUUUAUUUUUGAGUUAAAAAGCUUAAAUUUUUUUAAAAGACGAGAAGACCCUAUAGAAUUUUAUAUUAUUUGAAUAUUUUGUUAUUGGGAUUUUAAUAUAGAAUUUUUUAAUUAGUAUUUAGUUGGGGUGAUUGAAAAAUUUAAUAAACUUUUUUUUAUUAUUAACAUUAAUAUAUGAUUAUAUGAUCCAGUUUUUCUGAUUAUAAGAUUAAAUUACCUUAGGGAUAACAGCGUAAUUUUUUUAGAGAGUUCUAAUCGAUAAAAGAGAUUGCGACCUCGAUGUUGGAUUAAAGUUUAUUUUUAAUGUAGGAGUUAAAAUAUUAGGUCUGUUCGACCUUUAAAACUUUACAUGAUCUGAGUUUAAACCGGUGUGAGCCAGGUUGGAUUCUAUCUUUAAUUAAAUUAAAUAUUUUAGUACGAAAGGACCAAGUAUUUAUUAUAAUAGUUUUAUUAGAA
Molecule: ribosomal RNA, 615 nt
Filed under: Troglocharinus fonti
Lineage: Eukaryota; Metazoa; Arthropoda; Insecta; Coleoptera; Leiodidae
Description: 16S ribosomal RNA
Rfam family: Bacterial large subunit ribosomal RNA (bases 383-541)
Source: RNAcentral